Long non-coding RNA from Ceratina calcarata, 264 nucleotides. RefSeq lists it as uncharacterized. The record is from RefSeq and is a predicted model, not a curated record. Lineage: Eukaryota; Metazoa; Arthropoda; Insecta; Hymenoptera; Apidae. The transcript is spliced from 3 exons.
UCUCAGUUUUUUAUGGAUUCUAUUUAUAACAGUUGCAGGGCGGUUGAAUCAGGGGUUCAAACAGACGAUGAUCCAGGUGAACAAUUUGUAAUUUUGAUAUUAAUUGAGAAGUCGUUUGUUAAUUUCUGGGGCUGUUUCAAACAUCUCCUUGUUUGAUCUGCAGAAGAUGGAUAACUGUUCGAUUGGGAUUGCGGUGUGUGGAUUUCUUUGAUUUGGAAUUUUUGUGCGUCUUUGAUUUGGUGAGAACAAUGAUAGGAGUUUGUU